This 1790-nucleotide long non-coding RNA is filed under the name Nicotiana benthamiana. RNAcentral describes it as "long non-coding RNA (NBEN_LNC016661)". Lineage: Eukaryota; Viridiplantae; Streptophyta; Magnoliopsida; Solanales; Solanaceae. The record is from RNAcentral.
AAAAAAUACAAGAAAAAGUCCUAAGUAAUUUGUUAUUGUACUGAGGUAAACCAGGCAUCGACACAGGUCUAAACAUGAAUGAAAAUAACACUGGACCUAGGCCCGCGUAUCAGAUAAUUUGAGGCCCAAAGGCUGGAGAACACGACUCGACGUUGAGUCUUAGCCAUCGGCACAAAAUAGCACCUAAAGGAAAAUUCGAAUGCCCCAACUAGUUCCAAAACAUACCACAACAACACCAUACCCAAAUUGAUCCUAGAAUGUCUUAAGUGAAACCAAAAAUCUACUGGAAAACCAACCAAAAAAUAGUACUGACUCCAGUUAACAAAAUACUGAACUAAAAAAUGACUUAGUAGCUAGAAAUCUGAAAGCUCUCAAAAACUCUCACAAUUGAUUCCUAAGAACUGUGUUAAGCUUUUAAAACCCUCUCUCUCUUUUUCAGUCUAAAACUCUUAAGCACUGAUGUUUUUAAGCUAAUUGACUGAAGAAAAACUCUCCGUCUAAAACUCGUUGUGUGUUCUCCGACUCCUUUCUUUCAGAAUGUUCUCUUAAUUUUCAUUUAAAGAUCAAUUUUACUCCCCUUUUUCCCUUUUUUAUUCAAACACUUUUCUUUACAACUUGUAUAUUUCCUCCCCGUGUGCACCCCUUUAGCUUUUCAUUAUUACCCCAUGUUAUCUACUUCCCAACCCCUUUUUCUUUCUUUAUACUUGUAUUAUUUUGACUUUUUGUACCCCCAUGUUCUAUUCUGAUUUUUCCACUAAAAGAUAUUGUUCAGAGUUGUUAGUAUACCCUUUACCCUCUUUCCUGUUAUUCUAAUCCAAACAGGUAUGGGCAUAUCCUUUUUUUUAAAAGAAAACUUGACUACUAACUAUACUAAUCAAUUCCUUGAGUCAGGGAUCAAGUGAUGAACAAAGCACAUGGCAACAAUUUCUGAUCCUAGAAGUUUUUACCAUUUCACUGUCAAAUGACAUUUCUCAUACGAAAAUUAGAACUGAAAUUGACGUGCAAUAAUCCAGGACUGACUCUUUUGGACUUCGAAACAAACAGAAGUUAAAACCAAAUUGCAAAUAGCUUUUUCAACACAAACUUAAUUUAAACCAAAAGUUAAACAACUAAUAAGAACAAAUAUUGAUGAACACGGCUCACACAAACAACAGAAACAAGCACAAUGAAAGAAACGAAAAGAGGAGAGAUGAACAAGAUUAUAGAAACCAACAUAAAAACGAAACACGAGGAGAUGAGGACUGGAAAUUUAAACAAAAAUAAAAGAUAAAAGAAAAGAAAAGGGAAUUGAAAAUACCCGAAUUCCAUGCGGACCCAAUUAUGAAAUUUGUCCCCGUUUCUCUGAUUUGGAUCGAAACGGACCUUAAUUGUGUGUUUUCAAUGUGAAAAUACAUGACUAAGGUCUAAUUCGGUCUACAAAUCUUAACAUGUCCAUUGAAUUUGAGUUAAAAUAAGUAGGGCUCGUUUAUGCGAUCUAGUAUUCGAACAACUCUAGGGGGAUUCGAAGGAAACAAUUUGGAUAUUUGGAUUGAGGGAGGCUUGGUGGUUCAAGGGUGUGAAUUUGGUUGUGAUUGGAUAGGCUAGGGGUUUUAAUGGAUUCUUCGAUUGAAGAUUCAAAGAAACUGGUUGGGAUUCGAGGGAAGCUGUUAGGAUGGUUGGAAUGGGGAGGUCAAGAGGGUUCUAGGUUGUAAAAAUGGGAAGGUUUGAGUGUCGGCCGCCGUCGUAGGCGAUUUCCGACGGGCGGUCGACGUCGUUUCAUGAUUGCGGGUUCAUUUGUUCUUUGAUAGAUG